GACGUAGGAUGCAAGCGUUGUCCGGAUUUAUUGGGCGUAAAGAGUUCGUAGGUGGUUUGUUAAGUCUGAUGUUAAAGACUGGGGCUCAACCUCGGAAAUGCAUUGGAUACUGGCAGACUUGAGUGUGGUAGAGGCAAUCGGAAUUCCAGGUGUAGCGGUGAAAUGCGUAGAUAUCUGGAAGAACACCGGUGGCGCAAGCGGAUUGCUGGGCCAUAACUGACACUGAG
RNAcentral lists this ribosomal RNA (227 nucleotides) under uncultured bacterium. Its description in RNAcentral is "partial 16S ribosomal RNA". It matches the Rfam family "Bacterial small subunit ribosomal RNA", at positions 524 to 750 of the family's 1533-position model. The record is from RNAcentral.